This 492-nucleotide ribosomal RNA is filed under the name uncultured bacterium. Its description in RNAcentral is "partial 16S ribosomal RNA". It matches the Rfam family "Bacterial small subunit ribosomal RNA", at positions 29 to 507 of the family's 1533-position model. The record is from RNAcentral.
AGUGAACGCUGGCGGUAGGCCUAACACAUGCAAGUCGAACGGCAGCACAGUAAGAGCUUGCUCUUACGGGUGGCGAGUGGCGGACGGGUGAGGAAUACAUCGGAAUCUACUUUUUCGUGGGGGAUAACGUAGGGAAACUUACGCUAAUACCGCAUACGACCUACGGGUGAAAGCAGGGGAUCUUCGGACCUUGCGCGAUUGAAUGAGCCGAUGUCGGAUUAGCUAGUUGGCGGGGUAAAGGCCCACCAAGGCGACGAUCCGUAGCUGGUCUGAGAGGAUGAUCCGCCACACUGGAACGGAGACACGGUCCAGACUCCUACGGGAGGCAGCAGUGGGGAAUAUUGGACAAUGGGCGAAAGCCUGAUCCAGCAAUACCGCGUGGGUGAAGAAGGCCUUCGGGUUGUAAAGCCCUUUUGUUGGGAAAGAAAAGCAGCAGGUUAAUACCCCGCUGUUCUGACGGUACCCAAAGAAUAAGCACCGGCUAACUUCGUG